RNAcentral lists this long non-coding RNA (3140 nucleotides) under Homo sapiens (human). RNAcentral describes it as "HSALNT0250225". The record is from RNAcentral. Lineage: Eukaryota; Metazoa; Chordata; Mammalia; Primates; Hominidae.
CCUGUGUGGAACUUGGGAUUCGAACGGCAGGCGGGAAGUGCUCUAGCAGGGGAGUCUGACCUUGUGAGGGAAUACCUGUGUCCCCCCUUUUUUCCCCUUUUUACCCAAUAAAACCCUGCCUUACUCACCCUUUAAAUCAUCUGCGAGCCUGAAUUUUCAUGGCCGUGGGACGGACAAGAACUUUAUCUUCAGCUGAACUAAGAAAAAGUCCUGCAACAUUUUUGGCGCGCAAUGUGGGGGCACCAGAAGCGAAAGAACACCCCCUCUUAAACAUGGAGAUCGUUAUAUAGAAUGUCCAAGGCAAAUUAAGGAAAAUAAUUAUUGUAGCUGAUGAAGCAGAAACCCUAUUAGAGCUAAAUGCUACUUCACAGUACUCACAAAGGUAGGAAUCGUAAGAGUGUACAGAAAUAAGUCACAUGCAGACCAUAUUGAAAUACGCAGAGAAUUCCAUGGAGACUCUGAUGGCUAGGGCACCGUUGAGCUGUUGCAACUGUUCUGCUGGAGCCUUAUGUAUGUGGUUGAAACCACCUGUACUACUGGAAUGAAAGCACCUUUACAGAAGAGGCAAUGCAAGUUGUAUUCAUCACAUGUGUAGAAUGAAUUAAGAUUUAUGCCAGUUGCAAAGAAGAAUAUUGGCUCACUAUUUUUCCUCUGGGCACAUUGCUGCCCACCAGCAGAGGAUCAGGCUGACAUCUUCAGGAGGCAUAUGGAGGUAAUGGUUAACUUUGCUACAGUGAAGACCAAGGUAAAUUGGGUGCACUGAAGAGAAAAACCUGACCACUUCUGCAGCUGUGCAUCUGGAGUCUGAGUUGUACUGCGACAUUAGCUCUUUUGACUAGAUGUGAUGACAGACUGUCUUUGGUCCAUUCUCUUUUAUUGCCUUGGAAGAGAAUAAAUGAGGAGUAGUUCUCACCCAUUGCAGCUGAGGCAUCACACCUGUAAUGGGAUUAACAAGAUGAUAAUAUAUCUUUUGCCAAGACCACAUACUAGCAUCACAAGUUUAUCUUUACAAUGUUGGGUCUAUCUCUGAACCCCUGGAUGUUGAAAAAGAACCCACCUUUGAAAAAGAAUAAUGAGAAUGGGAAGAUCUGAGCUGCUGGAGUGCCCAAUGGCAAUGAUGGGAGAGGAUACAGCUAUUACUAACAAAGAAAAGACUGCUUCUGUAAUACAACAAUAAAUUUAUUGAACUAAAAGUUGAGACUGACAUCUGGGCACAUUGGGCUCCUCAUGCCUCUGAAUAAACAGACAAACAAAUGAGUUACUAUACCAGCAGAGGGGUACAAGCAAUUUUCCAGUCUUGACCCUUUAUCUGUUGACCAAGCUAAGGCAGAAACCAGCUAAAUUCUGGAUUUAAUCUUGAGCAGCAAAAAAGAUCAGCUUUUGAAGUGGAUCUGCUUUUAUUCUUGGCAAAAGUUCAGCGGAGACCAACCAGAGUGGUGACAAAGUUCUUCAACAUCAAGCCAAAUGUAAUACAAGGAAUUACGGAUAGUGCUUAAUCUAAAAUAAAGAAAUUCCACAUCUCCCUAAAAAGUUAUUGGCUUCAAGAAUGAAAACAAAAGAAGCAUAUUUGUCUCAAUCCAAACACAGACACCAGAAAGACAAACCAGGAGUAUACAGCAAAGUAGCUUGCAGGAUAAUACAUUGAAAAAUGUAAUUGUGCAUAAAUCAUGCACAAAGUAGAAACCACAAAUUCUGUAUUUGGCAAGGCUUCGGUUCCUUUGCAUAAUUCUUUCAUUUUCAUCUUGCUGCUUCCAUUCUCUUUUCAUCAAAAAAAGCUACAUAAAACAAAGACAUAAACUGUAUGCAAUUAAAAUGAGAAAAUAGCUGAAAGGAAUGUAUUGAUAAUUAUGUUAAAAUCUAUACCAUAAGUAUUCUUGCAUUGUUAAGCAUCUAAUUUUUCAUGUGUUGACAUCAGCAUCUCAGUUCUCUCUAACAUCUGAAAGCUUUUUUUUUUAAGGCAACUUCUUUUAGAGUGAACAAACUUAUGUACCACCGAGUUGACAAAAGUAUAACUAUAUCCUACAGAAAGAGACCUCAAGUAAACCUCCAGCAGCCAUCUGGACUUCCAUGAAAACAGAACAAUCAGUGAGAUGCAGAGCUUGGAGGAGACAGUUUCCAUAGACUGAAGCACGUGCUGAAGCAAAGUUCACACUUGCAGGAUUAGAAGAGGUUGACCGAAAGAAGGAAGGACAUGGACAGCUAUGUUGUUGUGGAGUCCUGUUUUAUAGUCAUAACCUUGAGUCAAGUGAGUUUGUCUGGACAGACAGAGCUUGUUGCCUUUACUUAUAGGGAAGGCACCGGACACAGACAGCCUCAAGGACAUUUGUUCUAGCCUUUCAGUAUCCUUUCUCUUAAUUAUCUCACCUCAUCCAUGAAGCUGGUAUGUACGAUUUUUCCUUUCUUUCUCAAUCCUUUAAAAAAUUAAAGCUCUAAAUCUCAUUUCCACUUAGAUUUUAAUGUUGCAUUGUAACUUAAGAUAAAACCUUGCUCUGAUGUUAAAAAUACUAAAGUAAGAAGCAAUAUGGCAUAGUGCUUAUGAGCAGGACUACAUAGUUCUUUCUGAAUACAAAUCUCAGAUAAAACACUAUCUCAGUGAUCAACCAGGUUAAGCAACCUUUUUAGUGCCUCAAUUAUUCCAUUUGUAAAAUUGUAAUAAUGAUAGUACUAACCUAUAAGAUUGUGGUGAGGAUUAAGUCAGAUAAUACAAAAGAAGCAUUUAGAGUAUUUCCUGGCAUUAUCUACCAUUUAUUGAAUUUUUAUGGUUAAGAAGAAUAAGGAAAAGCAGAAGAAAAGGAAAAGAGAAAAAAUACAUAAGAAGAAGGAAGAGUGGUAAGCUCUAGUAAAUUACAACAAACGGUAACGUAGAAAACAUUUGUUAGCCCUUAAUAUAGGCCAGGCACUGUGUUCAAUGCUUAAACCUCAUUACUGUUCUUUGAAGUGGAUAACAUUAUUCCUUCCAUUUUAAAGAAAGGAAUACUAAAGACAACUUUGUCAAUAUUAUUCAUGUAAUAAAUGACAGAAUUUGACCAAGACAAUAGAGAAUGAACUCUUAAUCACUAUAUUGUUUUAUUUUUUGAAAAUAGAUUUUAAGUUCUUAUUAAAUGUUAAUGACUCACAUCAAAAUAAAGCCAAUCAAAAUU